RNAcentral lists this ribosomal RNA (460 nucleotides) under uncultured bacterium. Its description in RNAcentral is "partial 16S ribosomal RNA". It matches the Rfam family "Bacterial small subunit ribosomal RNA", at positions 338 to 795 of the family's 1533-position model. The record is from RNAcentral.
CCUACGGGAGGCAGCAGUGAGGAAUAUUGGUCAAUGGACGAGAGUCUGAACCAGCCAAGUAGCGUGAAGGAUGACUGCCCUAUGGGUUGUAAACUUCUUUUAUAUGGGAAUAAAAUGUUCCACGUGUGGGAUUUUGUAUGUACCAUAUGAAUAAGGAUCGGCUAACUCCGUGCCAGCAGCCGCGGUAAUACGGAGGAUCCGAGCGUUAUCCGGAUUUAUUGGGUUUAAAGGGAGCGUAGGUGGAUUGUUAAGUCAGUUGUGAAAGUUUGCGGCUCAACCGUAAAAUUGCAGUUGAAACUGGCAGUCUUGAGUACGGUAGAGGUAGGCGGAAUUCGUGGUGUAGCGGUGAAAUGCUUAGAGAUCACGAAGAACUCCGAUUGCGAAGGCAGUUCACUGGAAUGCAACUGACACUGAGGCUCGAAAGUGUGGGUAUCAAACAGGACUAGAUACCCGAGUAGUC